This 304-nucleotide ribosomal RNA is filed under the name uncultured bacterium. RNAcentral describes it as "partial 16S ribosomal RNA". It matches the Rfam family "Bacterial small subunit ribosomal RNA", at positions 509 to 809 of the family's 1533-position model. The record is from RNAcentral.
CAGCAGUCGCCGCGGUAAUACGGAGGGGGCUAGCGUUGUUCGGAAUUACUGGGCGUAAAGCGCACGUAGGCGGCUUGGUAAGUUAGAGGUGAAAGCCCGGAGCUCAACUCCGGAAUUGCCUUUAAGACUGCCGAGCUAGUAGGUGAGAGAGGUAAGUGGAAUUCCGAGUGUAGAGGUGAAAUUCGUAGAUAUUCGGAAGAACACCAGUGGCGAAGGCGGCUUACUGGACUGGUAUUGACGCUGAGGUGCGAAAGCGUGGGGAGCAAACAGGAUUAGAGACCCCAGUAGUCCCUGUCUCUUAUAA